CAGCUUGGCAUGGUCAAGACAAGUCGUUGUUUCCGUCUAUAACCAGAUUCUGAGGUGCAAUUCACUUGAGGGAGCCUACAACAAUGUUGCAAAUUGAGGUUCAGCACACCGCGUGUUUUCACAUCCUCCACAAAACGUGUCAGCAACAUCAGAGCAUCGGUAUCGAUAGUUUAUGAGAUGAUCUAACGAUUAGCCGUCGUGGAAUUGUCAUUUUCUGUGCAGGAAAACCGUACAUUUUCUAUAAAACUACCUGUUGCAGGCGCAAGAGUGAAGCCUCUGGAAAAUAUUAACUUAUAUUACAUUUUCGAAGAUAACACUUUCUGGUGCAAUUUAAAAGCGGCGAAACUUAGUUUUAAAGUCUGAGUUAACAUUUGAGAAGUGGUUGAAUAAAUGUUCACACUACGUCGAUUAUCGCAAAGGUCGUGAUUUCGGGCGGGAUUUAAAAUCUUACACAAGUUAGAAGCAAACCCUUCCACAGAACUGUACGUGAAAAGCGCGCUUAAUUCUCUUCAUUUAAAAUAAGAUUAACCGUAAGUGAUAAUUUUUUUGAGAAAUAAAUGAUUUCCGAUAAUAACAACAUGUAAAGGUUAAUACUUAAACUGUUGCCGUAAUAUUGCACCACUGACCCUUAAAAUUAUGUGAAAAAUCAUCAAAUAAGUUAUUGUCACAUUCAAUCAAUUUUGAAUUAUAGGAAGUCCCUAAUUA
Long non-coding RNA from Dalotia coriaria, 705 nucleotides. RefSeq lists it as uncharacterized. The transcript is spliced from 2 exons. The record is from RefSeq and is a predicted model, not a curated record. NCBI's taxonomy places the organism in Eukaryota, Metazoa, Arthropoda, Insecta, Coleoptera, Staphylinidae.